RNAcentral lists this ribosomal RNA (490 nucleotides) under uncultured bacterium. RNAcentral describes it as "partial 16S ribosomal RNA". It matches the Rfam family "Bacterial small subunit ribosomal RNA", at positions 30 to 507 of the family's 1533-position model. The record is from RNAcentral.
AUUGAACGCUGGCGGCAUGCCUUACACAUGCAAGUCGAACGGCAGCAUGAUCUAGCUUGCUAGAUUGAUGGCGAGUGGCGAACGGGUGAGUAAUACAUCGGAACGUGCCCUGUAGUGGGGGAUAACUAGUCGAAAGAUUAGCUAAUACCGCAUACGACCUGAGGGUGAAAGUGGGGGACCGCAAGGCCUCAUGCUAUAGGAGCGGCCGAUGUCUGAUUAGCUAGUUGGUGAGGUAAAGGCUCACCAAGGUGACGAUCAGUAGCUGGUCUGAGAGGACGAUCAGCCACACUGGGACUGAGACACGGCCCAGACUCCUACGGGAGGCAGCAGUGGGGAAUUUUGGACAAUGGGCGAAAGCCUGAUCCAGCAAUGCCGCGUGUGUGAAGAAGGCCUUCGGGUUGUAAAGCACUUUUGUCCGGAAAGAAAUGGCUCUGGUUAAUACCUGGGGUCGAUGACGGUACCGGAAGAAUAAGGACCGGCUAACUACGUG